GACUCCCGGCUCUGAGCCUUACUUGCGGUGGCCGGACUUGUCUGUGGCUGAAGCCGAGCCCGGGCUCUGACUCUCACGUCUGCACUGGAGGCCUUGGCCAGUUUGGACGGUGAUGGAAACAUUUCUGGAUUUUAGCGUCUAAGGGAGCACUCAAGGGCUGUAAGGUCACAGCGGAGUGAAUCAGCUCGGUGGUGUCUUUGUCAACGGGCGGCCACUGCCGGACUCCACCCGGCAGAAGAUUGUAGAGCUAGCUCACAGCGGGGCCCGGCCGUGCGACAUUUCCCGAAUUCUGCAGACCCAUGCAGAUGCAAAAGUCCAAGUGCUGGACAAUCAAAACGUGUCCAACGGAUGUGUGAGUAAAAUUCUGGGCAGGUAUUACGAGACUGGCUCCAUCAGACCCAGGGCAAUCGGUGGUAGUAAACCGAGAGUAGCGACUCCAGAAGUUGUAAGCAAAAUAGCCCAGUAUAAGCGGGAGUGCCCGUCCAUCUUUGCUUGGGAAAUCCGAGACAGAUUACUGUCCGAGGGGGUCUGUACCAACGAUAACAUACCAAGUGUAAGUUCAUUGAGAAGAUCUGCCCUCCCUGCCCUAAGCCCAAUGCUCUCUCCUCUUUACCUCCUCCCACCCUCUCUCUCCACUGUCUCUUAGUCUG
This 650-nucleotide small RNA is filed under the name Pan troglodytes (chimpanzee). RNAcentral's name for it is "processed transcript". The record is from RNAcentral. Lineage: Eukaryota; Metazoa; Chordata; Mammalia; Primates; Hominidae.